GAUGAACGCUGGCGGCGUGCCUAAUACAUGCAAGUCGAGCGGACAGAUGAGGAGCUUGCUCCUCUGACGUUAGCGGCGGACGGGUGAGUAACACGUGGAUAACCUACCUAUAAGACUGGGAUAACUUCGGGAAACCGGAGCUAAUACCGGAUAAUAUAUUGAACCGCAUGGUUCAAUAGUGAAAGACGGUUUUGCUGUCACUUAUAGAUGGAUCCGCGCCGCAUUAGCUAGUUGGUAAGGUAACGGCUUACCAAGGCAACGAUGCGUAGCCGACCUGAGAGGGUGAUCGGCCACACUGGAACUGAGACACGGUCCAGACUCCUACGGGAGGCAGCAGUAGGGAAUCUUCCGCAAUGGGCGAAAGCCUGACGGAGCAACGCCGCGUGAGUGAUGAAGGUCUUCGGAUCGUAAAACUCUGUUAUUAGGGAAGAACAAAUGUGUAAGUAACUAUGCACGUCUUGACGGUACCUAAUCAGAAAGCCACGGCUAACUACGUG
RNAcentral lists this ribosomal RNA (497 nucleotides) under uncultured bacterium. RNAcentral's name for it is "partial 16S ribosomal RNA". It matches the Rfam family "Bacterial small subunit ribosomal RNA", at positions 28 to 507 of the family's 1533-position model. The record is from RNAcentral.